UCAGCGGCGAUGUGCACCGGCUCCCGACGGCUCGGGGGGCGGCGGGGUCGUCCAGGUCCCCGAGGCUUGACCUUAGCCGGGGCAGUCUCCCCUACACCCAGGCUUGGGCCAUAGGACCUCCUGCUAGCGCACUCCCUCUCCCAGGCAAGUCGCCGAGUCCCUGCGGGCGGAAGCGGGACGCGCCCGCGCUUCGCGCCCUUUCGCCUGCGCCGCCUCUCAGGUGUCAGAGCUUCGGCGGGGGCCGCGCCCCCGGAGCUGCUGCUCAGGCUUUUCCGAAGAGGCGGGGCGGGGGGGCCUCUCACUACCCCACACUCCACAUCCUGGGAAUCCCCGGCAUCCGCCCCCCGACCUAGGCAAGGGUUACCCCAGAAACGAUCCUGGGUCCAGGGCUGCCCUGACUACUGGGGGAGAAGAAGGGGAAGCGGCAGGCUAGUGACCGAGCCGGCGCACCCAGCACCUGGCGGCGGGGGGGGUGUUCCUGCUCUGUGAGGCUUUUCCUCUCUGGUGUCACUGACAAACCCCAUCGGCCUCCGGGCUUGUGAACCCCUGCAGGUCGCCACAGCUUCCCUGCCUUGUCCCAGCAGAUUGUGCGGCAGAGCAGGCGCGCGGCCACAGCUCUCCCCGCCCCGCCGCGCCGACCCGGCCUUCUGGGCAGGCCCCAGACGCCCGAGGCCGGGGGCGCCCCUCGCCUCUUCCUCGGCCUCAAGGACACUUGCGAAACGUGGAUCUAAAGCAAGUCCUUCGCGCUGACCACGGACAGUUAUUCAAGCUGCACGUUGCCGCGGCUCCGGCUCUCACUGUCGCUCAGCAGGUCGUCCUCCGAGUCCUCGAGCAGCGACGAGGAGCCAGUGGAGGAGACCGACGAGGUGGAAAGGCGGCGCGGCUGCUGCAGGAGCUCAGGGCUUGGAGUCCGCCGUGUGGCGUUCAGCAAGUCAUUUCACCUCCCUCGACUGCGGAUUCUCCCGUUGCUGCGAGAAUAAAAUAAAAUAUUUGAAAACAGGUACACCACA
This is a long non-coding RNA of Symphalangus syndactylus (siamang), 1010 nucleotides long. RefSeq lists it as uncharacterized. The record is from RefSeq and is a predicted model, not a curated record. NCBI's taxonomy places the organism in Eukaryota, Metazoa, Chordata, Mammalia, Primates, Hylobatidae.